AAGUUGAGUUCUUUUAGUAGUUGGCAAUGCAGUGCUUUAUAGCCCAACUUUUGUUAUGCAUUUAUUACAAAUUCUUUUUAAAAUUUUGUGACUUUAGUUAAAAUAAAUCCUUAAUAAUAUUUUAAAAUUUGUUAUUAUUUAGUAUUUUUAAAUAAGUUAUACUUGAUUUAUUUAAAACAUAGUCUUAAAGGUCCUUUCCAUUUUGGAGUUUUAAAUAGAAACACUGCCACCUUGUGUUAUGUGCAGCUAAUGUUGGAUAAACUGAAAAUCACUAACUGGGUGUAUUGCCAAUUGAGGAAAAUAUACUUUUCUGUAUUCUUACACUUGCUGACCCGUGUUUUCUUAUGUUUUACCAAAGCGAAAUUUGACACACAUGCAAGAUGAAGUAAAUGUGAAGUCACAUCAGAGGGAGCAUCAAAAUAUUCAGGAUUUGGAGAUUGAAAAUGAAGAUUUGAAAGAGAGGUUGAGAAAAAUUCAGCAAGAACAAAGAAUACUUUUGGAUAAAGUCAAUGGUUUACAGUUACAGCUGAAUGAG
RNAcentral lists this long non-coding RNA (535 nucleotides) under Homo sapiens (human). RNAcentral describes it as "non-protein coding lnc-LARP6-4:1". The record is from RNAcentral. Lineage: Eukaryota; Metazoa; Chordata; Mammalia; Primates; Hominidae.